AUUGAACGCUGGCGGCAUGGCUAAUGCAUGCAAGUCGAACGAAAGCCCUUCGGGGCGAAAGUGGCGAAAGGGCGAGUAAUACGAUCGAACGUACCCCAAGGUGGAGGAUAGUGUCGGGAAACUGACGGUAAUACUCCAUGUGCUCUUCGGAGGAAAGGUUUGGCGCCUCGGGAGCGGCGAUCGUCCUAUCAGGUAGUUGGUGAGGUAAUGGCUCACCAAGCCGAAGACGGGUAGCGGGUGUGAGAGCAUGACCCGCCGCAUCGGGACUGAGACACUGCCCGGACUCCUACGGGAGGCUGCAGCGACGAAUCUUCCGCAAUGGGCGCAAGCCUGACGGAGCAAUGCCGCGUGUGGGACGAAGCGUCUUCGACGUGUAAACCACUGUCAGAAUCUAGGAACACUGACCAGAUUCAAAGGAAGGGCCGGCUAACCUCGUGCCAGCAGCCGCG
RNAcentral lists this ribosomal RNA (449 nucleotides) under uncultured bacterium. RNAcentral describes it as "bacterial SSU rRNA". It matches the Rfam family "Bacterial small subunit ribosomal RNA", at positions 29 to 519 of the family's 1533-position model. The record is from RNAcentral.